GUGGGCAGCCUCGUUUUCAUGAGUAAAUGAGGUAUUCAAGAUUAUACUCAUGUAUUGUCUCAAUCUGAUAUCCAUUUUGAAUGAUAUCUCUAAAACUCAUCAAGUUCCUUUCAGACUUGGAGGAGAACAUUGCUUUCUCUAAUAUAGUGUUCCUUUAGGCAGAGUUAUAGUUGCUCUUCAGGAGCCUUCAAUCAAUUUAAUUCCCAUGG
RNAcentral lists this long non-coding RNA (209 nucleotides) under Nicotiana benthamiana. RNAcentral describes it as "long non-coding RNA (NBEN_LNC028773)". The record is from RNAcentral. Lineage: Eukaryota; Viridiplantae; Streptophyta; Magnoliopsida; Solanales; Solanaceae.